Raphanus sativus (radish) is the source of this 1393-nucleotide long non-coding RNA. RefSeq lists it as uncharacterized. The record is from RefSeq and is a predicted model, not a curated record. The transcript is spliced from 3 exons. NCBI's taxonomy places the organism in Eukaryota, Viridiplantae, Streptophyta, Magnoliopsida, Brassicales, Brassicaceae.
UUGACAAAAAAAAUUCCGAGAAAAGGUGCGGUCGUGUGGGGAUAUGUGGACGGAAAAUGUGGUGCUUGUAGGAUCGAGUCAUGCCGAGUCUAGGCAUAAGUGAUUAUGGGACCGGAGAACGGUCAGGAACCUGAUUUAGCCAAUCGGAUAAUCACAUAGGAUGCUACGGAUCAUAGCCCGGUUGGGGCGCCCGUAGGAACUCGCAGUGAAGGGGGUUCGUAAUGGCUCUCCCCGGGGACAUGCGGUAUGAACAAGGAGGUCGAGGAGUAUAAAUCUGGUGGUGUCAUUUUUUGGGUUUGGUUUUCUUUAAGUUAUUAUGAAUUCAAAGACUAUUUCUUCGUGUUUCUCAUUUUUGCUAAUUCUAAGCUUAUGUAAAACAGUGGAUCUAAUGAAAUAAAUGAGGUUUUGGAUUCAAUAGAGUGUUGUUGAGGUUUAAGUAUGAGUUUUGGGGACACGGCCCUUACGUUUUGACUAUAUUUUGUGGUGAUUGCUGAGUUUGAGGUAUACUUGCAGAUUUGUCUUUUUGAUAAUAGUCACUUGCAUUAUUUUGAUUACUUUUAUAGGAAAUCAUUGCUCAACCUGAUAGAGAAAAUCAUGGAAUUCAAAAACCUUGAGGAGGGAAUAAAGUUAUAUUGUGUUCAACGGGCCGGUACACAAAAGCCUAUGUUAAUUACAGGGCGGGACUGGCCAUGCCCUAACCGGACAGUGGACCAAAUGGACGACACCCAUAGACCCGUUCGAACUGAUAAUCGCUGCACAACAGGACGGAACAGGACAGGUAAUCCUGUUUGCCAUCUCUACAUAUAAGUAUAUAACUAACUAUAACUAACUAUACUAUUCUAUUCUUAAAUGUUGGUAAACCGUCCAAAGAUUAAAGAAAAACAAGAAUUAAAUGUAAAGAAUCUUUGAGUAUUUACACUAUAUAAAAUUAGAAGCGGCAUGGGAAGCUUGUGGUAUAUAUCUGGCAAUAUUCGUAAAAGUAAAAUAUUUUCUAUAUUCGAACUUCUUUCUAACUUAUCUUAUUUCUAUAGUUGUCUCCCUUCUUAAAUGAUAGGUUAUUAGGAUAGUAUAUGUGAUGUCCUUUUCUCGGAAAUACAACGUAUCUUAGAUUCAUCAUUAUUUCCCACAGCUAAAUGGUCUAGUUCACACCUGAAAGACCCAAAACGACCAUUUUCACCAUGACUCAAAUGACGAAUUUUAAUAGAGUACUACAUUUUUAACUACUUAAAACUAUCUUAUUAUUAAAGUUUGGACAUAUACACAUCUCACUAAGAAAAUUAAAGAUCCCUUAUAAUUCUGUUACAUUAUAUAUCCUGUUUAAUCAUUUUACUCCUAAUAUAAUAAUAAAAAUUAACCAGCAGGGAAUAUUCAUCAAUUAUCCAAACAUUUACAA